AAUCCUUUGUCCCUGGGUGAGAAUGC
RNAcentral lists this non-coding RNA (26 nucleotides) under Homo sapiens (human). The record is from RNAcentral. RNAcentral also lists the same sequence under 1 other name. Lineage: Eukaryota; Metazoa; Chordata; Mammalia; Primates; Hominidae.